This 369-nucleotide ribosomal RNA is filed under the name uncultured bacterium. Its description in RNAcentral is "bacterial SSU rRNA". It matches the Rfam family "Bacterial small subunit ribosomal RNA", at positions 527 to 896 of the family's 1533-position model. The record is from RNAcentral.
GUAGGGUGCGAGCGUUAAUCGGAAUUACUGGGCGUAAGGCGUGCGCAGGCGGUUCGCCGUGUCCUGUGUGAAAGCCCCGGGCUCAACCUGGGAAUGGCAUGGGAAACUGGCGGGCUGGAGUGUGGCAGAGGGGGGUGGAAUUCCGCGUGUAGCAGUGAAAUGCGUAGAGAUGCGGAGGAACACCGAUGGCGAAGGCAGCCCCCUGGGCCAACACUGACGCUCAGGCACGAAAGCGUGGGGAGCGAACAGGAUUAGAUACCCUGGUAGUCCACGCCCUAAACGAUGUCAACUGGGUGUUGGGGGAGCGAUCCCUUGGUACCGUAGCUAACGCGUGAAGUUGACCGCCUGGGGAGUACGGCCGCAAGGUUA